AAGUCGUAACAAGGUUUCCGUAGGUGAACCUGCGGAAGGAUCAUUAAAGAAUACCUGGACUCCGGUCCUCGUCGAGAAAGGUCGUCCCGGGUGGCCUCCAGGUCCCCGGGGCUUCCCCCUCCUUACCCUCUCGUUCACUCUACCUCUGCUUCGCUUUGGCAUGCACGCUCCUCGCCCCGGGGUCGGGUUCCGGGCUUUGGGCCGUCUUGGCCGGAUGGGCCCCGAACGCUACGUGGGAUAGUCUAUGUUUGUCUGAGUACGAUAUAAUCGUUUACAA
This 277-nucleotide unclassified non-coding RNA is filed under the name plant metagenome. RNAcentral describes it as "partial contains small subunit ribosomal RNA and internal transcribed spacer 1". The stretch from base 1 to 46 matches the Rfam family "Eukaryotic small subunit ribosomal RNA", at positions 1786 to 1831 of the family's 1831-position model. The record is from RNAcentral.